CGGUACGUACUGGCAUUGUUGGUUUCUCCCUUCUGACGAACCAUGAUGUCAUUUAUUUGGUGUUGUGGGGAAUCAGGACUGUUACUUUGAAAAAAUUAGAGUGUUUAAAGCAGGCUCACGCUUGAAUACAUUAGCAUGGAAUAAUGAAAUAGGACGUUUGAUUCUAUUUUGUUGGUUUCUAGGAUCAACGUAAUGAUUAAUAGGGAUAGUUGGGGGCAUUAGUAUUCAAUUGUCAGAGGUGAAAUUCUUGGAUUUAUUGAAGACUAACUACUGCGAAAGCAUUUGCCAAGGAUGUUUUCAUUAAUCAAGAACGAAAGUUAGGGGAUCGAAGACGAUCAGAUACCGUCGUAGUCUUAACCAUAAACUAUGCCGACUAGGGAUCGGAUGAUGUUAAUUUUUUAAUGACUCAUUCGGCGCCUUACG
Molecule: ribosomal RNA, 423 nt
Filed under: uncultured Glomeromycotina
Lineage: Eukaryota; Fungi; Glomeromycota
Description: SSU rRNA
Rfam family: Eukaryotic small subunit ribosomal RNA
Source: RNAcentral